Melanotaenia boesemani (Boeseman's rainbowfish) is the source of this 92-nucleotide small nucleolar RNA. RefSeq annotates it as small nucleolar SNORD12/SNORD106. Lineage: Eukaryota; Metazoa; Chordata; Actinopteri; Atheriniformes; Melanotaeniidae. The transcript has a single exon. The record is from RefSeq and is a predicted model, not a curated record.
AUUGUGGUUAAUGAUGCUAAACUUUUUUCCCCGUCAUAUCGACCAUGGUGAAAAGUAGCUAAAACUAAGCCAAUUUAGUCUGAAACCACAUU